GAGGCUUAACUUCGGGAUUGCCAUUGAAACUACCCUUCUUGAGUACAGUCGAAGACGGCGGAAUGAGUUAUGUAGCGGUGAAAUGCAUAGAUAUAACUCAGAACACCGAUUGCGAAGGCAGCUGUCUAGGCUGAGACUGACGCUGAGGCACGAAAGCGUGGGGAGCGAACAGGAUUAGAUACCCUGGUAGUCCACGCUGUAAACUAUGAUCACUCGCUGUUGGCAAUAUAAAGUCAGCGGCUGAGCGAAAGCAUUAAGUGAUCCACCUGGGGAGAACGUCGGCAACGAUGAAACUCAAAGGAAUUGACGGGGGCCCGCACAAGCGGAGGAACAUGUGGUUUAAUUCGAUGAUACGCGAGGAACCUUACCUGGGCUUAAAUGUAGAGUGCAUGGAGGGGAAACCUUCCUUUCCUUCGGGACUCUUUACAAGGUGCUGCAUGGUUGUCGUCAGCUCGUGCCGUGAGGUGUCGGGUUAAGUCCCAUAACGAGCGCAACCCCUAUCGUUAGUUGCCAUCUGGUCAUGCUGGGGACUCUAGCGAGACUGCCGGUGUAAACCGGAGGAAGGUGGGGAUGACGUCAAAUCAGCACGGCCCUUACGCCCAGGGCUACACACGUGUUACAAUGGCCGGAACAAAGAGCAGCUCCUACGCGAGUAGAUGCUAAUCUCUAAAACCGGUCUCAGUUCGGAUCGGAGUCUGCAAUUCGACUCCGUGAAGGUGGA
This 721-nucleotide ribosomal RNA is filed under the name uncultured Bacteroidota bacterium. Its description in RNAcentral is "bacterial SSU rRNA". It matches the Rfam family "Bacterial small subunit ribosomal RNA", at positions 604 to 1330 of the family's 1533-position model. Lineage: Bacteria; Pseudomonadati; Bacteroidota. The record is from RNAcentral.